RNAcentral lists this ribosomal RNA (546 nucleotides) under uncultured archaeon. Its description in RNAcentral is "bacterial SSU rRNA". It matches the Rfam family "Archaeal small subunit ribosomal RNA", at positions 328 to 879 of the family's 1478-position model. The record is from RNAcentral.
GGGUGCCCAGGCGCGAAAACUUUACAAUGCGGGCAACCGUGAUAAGGAAACCCCGAGUGCCAGCACAGGCUGGCUGUCCGCCAGUGUAAAAAACUGGUGAAGAAAGGGCCGGGCAAGACCGGUGCCAGCCGCCGCGGUAAUACCGGCGGCUCGAGUGGUGGCCGCUUUUACUGGGCUUAAAGGGUCCGUAGCUGGAUUCACAAGUCCCUUGAGAAAUCUAUCGGCUUAACUGAUAGGCGUUCAGGGGAUACUGUGGUUCUAGGGACCGGGAGAGGUGAGAGGUACUGCCGGGGUAGGAGUGAAAUCCUGUAAUCCCGGUGGGACGACCUAUAGCGAAGGCAUCUCACCAGAACGGCUCCGACAGUGAGGGACGAAAGCUGGGGGAGCAAACCGGAUUAGAUACCCGGGUAGUCCCAGCUGUAAACGAUGCGCGUUAGGUGUGUCAGUGACCACGUGUCACUGAUGUGCCGAAGGGAAACCGUGAAACGCGCCGCCUGGGGAGUACGGUCGCAAGGCUGAAACUUAAAGGAAUUGGCGGGGGAGCAC